UACGUAGGGGCCAAGCGUUGUCCGGAUUUAUUGGGCGUAAAGAGCUCGUAGGCGGUUCGGUAAGUCAGCUGUGAAAUCUCCACGCUCAACGUGGAGGGGUCAGCUGAUACUGCCGUGACUUGAGUCUGGUAGGGGAGUGCGGAAUUCCCGGUGUAGCGGUGAAAUGCGCAGAUAUCGGGAGGAACACCAGUGGCGAAGGCGGCACUCUGGGCCAGUACUGACGCUGAGGAACGAAAGCGUGGGGAGCGAACAGG
This 254-nucleotide ribosomal RNA is filed under the name uncultured bacterium. Its description in RNAcentral is "partial 16S ribosomal RNA". It matches the Rfam family "Bacterial small subunit ribosomal RNA", at positions 524 to 776 of the family's 1533-position model. The record is from RNAcentral.